GACGAACGCUGGCGGCGUGCUUAACACAUGCAAGUCGAACGGAAAGGCCCUGCUUUUGUGGGGUGCUCGAGUGGCGAACGGGUGAGUAACACGUGAGUAACCUGCCCUUGACUUUGGGAUAACUUCAGGAAACUGGGGCUAAUACCGGAUAGGAGCUCCUGCUGCAUGGUGGGGGUUGGAAAGUUUCGGCGGUUGGGGGUGGACUCGCGGCUUAUCAGCUUGUUGGUGGGGUAGUGGCUUACUAAGGCUUUGACGGGUAGCCGGCCUGAGAGGGUGACCGGCCACAUUGGGACUGAGAUACGGCCCAGACUCCUACGGGAGGCAGCAGUGGGGAAUAUUGCACAAUGGGCGGAAGCCUGAUGCAGCAACGCCGCGUGCGGGAUGACGGCCUUCGGGUUGUAAACCGCUUUCGCCUGUGACGAAGCGUGAGUGACGGUAAUGGGUAAAGAAGCACCGGCUAACUACGUG
Molecule: ribosomal RNA, 468 nt
Filed under: uncultured bacterium
Lineage: Bacteria
Description: partial 16S ribosomal RNA
Rfam family: Bacterial small subunit ribosomal RNA
Source: RNAcentral